UGAGUUCAAGUGUUUCAGUUGAGGCCGAGAUAAAUCCUACUGUAGCUGUCACUCCCAUGUCAUUGCCUCCACCUGUUUCAAUUGCUGAGAUAAAUCCUACUAUAGCUGUCACUCCCAUGUCACUGCCUCCACCUGAAAACAACUCACUCCAGAAAGCAAGUACUGAAACUAACAAGUGUGAACCAAUCAUUGAAGAACCAGCAACGCCAGAACAAGAGUUCACAGAGCUUUCGCAAAGUGACAUUGAGGACUUAUUCUACGAGGAUCCUGACGAGAUUCC
Molecule: long non-coding RNA, 280 nt
Filed under: Prunus persica (peach)
Lineage: Eukaryota; Viridiplantae; Streptophyta; Magnoliopsida; Rosales; Rosaceae
Description: long non-coding RNA (PPER_LNC006751)
Source: RNAcentral